ACAGGGGGUGCAAGCGUUAUCCGGAAUGAUUGGGCGUAAAGCGCCUGUAGGUGGUUUUUGAAGUCUACUGUCAAAUCCCAGAGCUCAACUUUGGACAGGCAGUGGAGCACUCAAAGGCUUGAGUUCGGUAGGGGUAGAGGGAAUUCCUAGUGGAGCAGUGAAAUGCACAGAGAUUAGGAGGAACACCAGUGGCGAAAGCGCUCUACUGGGCCGAAACUGACACUGAGAGACGACAGCUGAGGGAGCGAAUAGGA
RNAcentral lists this ribosomal RNA (254 nucleotides) under uncultured prokaryote. RNAcentral's name for it is "partial 16S ribosomal RNA". It matches the Rfam family "Bacterial small subunit ribosomal RNA", at positions 525 to 777 of the family's 1533-position model. The record is from RNAcentral.